UACUGUAGACACUAUUCCCGAAGUUUGAAUUUAUCCUCAACCUCUUCCUCUGUUUUGAAAUCUUUCUUGAGUUUUUGUUUUUUUUUCAUCAACUGCAUGAUUUUGUUCAACUUUGUCUGUGAACUCAUAUGUUUACAAUAGUUUUCAUACUGUAUCUUUUUGAUAUUUUAAAGUAUGCAACACCUGCUAUCUUUUUCACUGUAACUAGUUGAAUUAAUAAGGCUAUAGAUUUUCUGAAUGCUGCAAUUUGUCUGAAAUCAGGUUCAAAACGAAACACGUGGAAUAUACUAUAUUUAUGGAAUAUAUCGUAUUAUAAAUAUUAUUUGACAAGUACAGGAACAGAAAUGAUUUGCUUACUUCUCUGGAGUUAAACUCCUGAAACAGUUCUCUCAGCUACCGCUGCUUUUGAUUACGAAAACUUGUUUUUUCGACAUUUUCAAUGAUAUUCUCAUCGCUGUCAGAAAUCACGAACUAACUUCCCUUAUCAGAAAUCUGAAAGCGAAUCACGCUACUGAUUGAAACUUCCAUCUAUCUGAACGUAUGUAAGUUUCAUUGCUUUAAAAUCACACGAAUUUACAUAAGUACAUAUUUUACGAGUAACCAACCUUUAUUUUCCUGCUGAAUUUACUUCGAAAAUAAAUAAUCAUUCUAUCAGAAUCAGACAUUGAAAUUUUACCAAAAUAUUAUUUAGCGAUGCUUACUAUUAGUUUAGUGGGCGACGAGCAGCAACGAGCGCCAAUAUGUGCAUCGAAGAUUGGAGAAUACAGUACAUAAUAUGUACUUCAAGUUUUGCAAGACUCUCCGAUCGCAACGCGCUCCGAUAGCGAGGAUACGAUUGGAAAUUGCUUUGCUCUGAUUAGCUGACCGAUUGGAUGCACAGUAAACUGGCGAGGAUGCUUGCAAAAGCUAAGGGAGGUAGCAAAAUCGUGCAAAACCUGAAUUUGAAUCUGUCUUUUUCUACGAAGUGGUUUCAUGCUCAGCAGUAAUAGAUGCUGCUUUCAGAUAUAUAGUAUAUGCUCUAAGUCUAUGGUUUAGGAGUGCAUUCCCCAUAUAGUGUUCUCACAUUCCCACGGACUUAGCCGUGGAUAAGCGUGGUCAUUCCCUUAAAUGUCACGUGACUACAUCCGUGACGUCAUGGAUGAGCAAUUCAGCAGAGUAAGGGUAGAGGGCAGUGAAGUUGACCAACGAGAAGUGAACAAUCACAACCGUGGAAACAUUCUUGGCAACAAUCCUGCCCUCUAUCCCUAUUCUUCCGAACUGCUCAUCCGUGACAUCACGGAUAGAACACGUGUCAAUUGUAGGAAUGCACUGCACAGCAACGGUAACGAUGUUCAAGCUCAAGCCUGUUCAGGACCAUGUGGUCCUGCAACAAGAAACAAUUGAGAAGCUUUCUGUGUUGAAGAAGGAAGUUGAAAAUAUAACAUUACAGAGAAGCAGAUUGAAAGAGAAGAUGCAACUGAAAUAGAUUCACGAUACGAUGGCUGAGAAGAGCGAUUUGGACGGCAUUGAUGCCGAAUUGUGAUCCCAACUGAUGCAACGAACUUCCGAAUCGUCAAUUGUGAAUGUAUCGAAACAGGCUGAAAGUCAGAAUGUGAUACGGACUAUCUCUGUAUUCGAAAAACAGCUUGAAAGCAACUGUUUUCACGAAAAUGAAACAAAUAAUCCGUGAGUCACACAGGAUACGAAUAAAUAUUAAGUUAUUCUCGUCGAAUAAUGCUACGAGCUUUUUCGUGAUUCGAUUGGAGUACAUUACUUAACAUAAACGUAUUGGAUAGCGUGAAGGUUGCGAUUAAAGGAAGACCGUUGA
Molecule: non-coding RNA, 1807 nt
Organism: Megalopta genalis
Lineage: Eukaryota; Metazoa; Arthropoda; Insecta; Hymenoptera; Halictidae
Source: RefSeq, a predicted model, not a curated record